Molecule: long non-coding RNA, 3475 nt
Filed under: Salmo salar (Atlantic salmon)
Lineage: Eukaryota; Metazoa; Chordata; Actinopteri; Salmoniformes; Salmonidae
Description: lncRNA (ENSSSAG00000106748.1)
Source: RNAcentral
CACACACACACACACACACACACACACACACACACACACACACACACACACACACACACACACAGUCCUGACAGGUGCAAACACUAAACAGAAACAAUCCCCCACAAAACCCAAAGGAAAAACAGGCUCCUUAUGUGUGACUCCCAAUCAGCAACAACGAACUACAGCUGUGCCUGAUUGGGAGCCACACACGGCCCAAAACAAAGAAAUACAAAAACAUAGAAAAAUUAACAUAGAACGCCCACCCAAUGUAACACCCUGGCCUAACCAAAAUAAAGAACAAAAAACCCCUCUCUAUGGCCAGGGCGUUACACUGUCUUACACCUGGGAAGAACUCUUGCAUCUGAGAAAACGUAGUGUACUGACAGUGUCCCAGUCUGACGGUAAAACACUGCAGAUUUAUAAUCUUCAAAGAGAUUAAAUUACACCCCACCACUCUCAUCCCUCAACCACAGAGAGCCUGCACACACACACGCACGCUGCACUCACUCACACACACACAACGGCUUGGGUUUCACCGGCAGAUGACAGUCUGGCCGUCGGCCUGAAAGUUGUUCACAGCAAUACCACCCCACCACAGGUCACCCCCCUCUCCCCACAACACACACACACAAACACAUACACACACUUCAGAAAGGCCCAAUAUAAAGGGGGGGCAAGGUCAGAAGGAACACAUGCUGUCAGACACACUAGUUCAGGUAGGAAACCAUCAGGCGAUGCUUUGAUUCCCCUCCAACCUCGAACACAGAACCACAAACCAUUUAGGCAUCAUGCCUGAACCUGACUGGUAGAUUACAUAUAUAGGCUAGUAUUGAUUGGAGUUAUAAUUGGGGCAGGAAAUUCCAAGCCCUAGUUAUAGUCUAUAACUAUGACCCUUUACGCCGAUAAUUCAAGUUGGUAUUUUAACUUGCUAAGCAUUCAACACUGUUUUAAAUAUUUAGCACACUACCAUAAAAAUUGAAUUCACAAUUUAGUUUCGGGGGUUGUUUUAGAUUCCUUGUCUACAUAAAUCCACAAUUGGCCCUUCCCUAAGCCCCCGAGGUUACUGUUGCAACCUCGGACAACAUUUUCCCGGGAAGCCCAAUUACCCAUUUCACUGCUGGUGAAAUCCCUUCACAAUGAUCCCAAACUGUGUUCCUAAAACACAAAGAAAUUAAACCCCUUGCUAAUCAGGAAACUCUUGGGUAUGUUGUGGUAGACUGUCAUUACAAUUGCUUUAGGGGAACAUGGUAAAAUUAUGUUUGUAGUGUAGCUAACCACUGAAUGGCUCUGAAUUCUCUGUCAGCAUGCAGUCAAAGCUAUGACCACUUUUGGAGCAAACUAGUGCUCUCAAAUUGAAUCCUGAUGUCGACAGCAGAUGGGAGUUGUAUUCAUAACAUUGCUAACUUAGUUAGCUAACAUACAUUUUAAGAAAACAAGUUGUAUUAAGUGGCCAGCUACAGUAGCUAGCGUUAGCAAUGUUUGGUGGUCAAAGAGUGAGAGCUAGCUAGCUAACCAGCUGAGCUAGCAAACAAUGUAUUGUAUUGAUUCCUGCAUUUCAGGAAUCACAGUAGCAAGUACUCUUGGUGCACUGUACAAUUAUUAAGCUAUUUAAACAUACAGUUUUUAAAGAAAACUAUCAAUUUUUGCCAUAGACCUCACUGGCUUUCAUGCGAUUUAAACAUGAGCUUGUCCGACAGUUGCUAUCCAGCGCUGGAGUGCUGCGAUUAGUUGCCCAACAUUUGGGGCGGGGCUUAUCGAAGGGUCAAUUGUUCCCAGACUUAUGCCAAGGCAUUAGGGUGAAAAAGCUCUCAUUCAUGUGUGGACACUUACAUUACAUGUACUAGAACAAUAACUAAGCACGCAAGUACCACACAUCGUCCAUAUGAGCUUCUUGCAACCUGAGAACACAUGCAUGGGCCCCAGGUCUUAAACAGGCAUUAACAUGCUAGCUCUAACACAAUGUGAAGAAAGGGGAGCAGCAUAACAAAAACAUAGGCCUCUCACCACUGCGAAGUGUCGAUGAAGGCUGUCCUUCACUGAGUCUGAUACAUUUCAAACAAUGUGUUUCAAAUUGCACUCUAUUCCCAAUGUAGUUCACUACUACCCAUAGGGCUCUGGUCAAAAGUAGUGCACUACAUAGAAUAAAGUCCUUUUUGGAAUGCAGUGUUACAUUAUACUGCUGGAGGACAAGGAGAGGGAGUCGGCUCGGCGCCCUUUUAGGUAUGGUUGCUGCUCGCCGUAGAGGACAAAAUCUAUCGCACUCCAUUGGGGGGGAUGCCACCUCCAAUGUACCGUUCGCUGUCUUGGGACAGGAAGUACAGAGCUAUUUCUGAACCAAUGUCAGCCACAGCCCCAUGACUCUUCUUCCCACAUCCCAACUCCCCCCUCCCACCAACCCCACCGUCACCCCCUCUGACCCCAGCCCCCACUACAACACCCUAGCCUGGGAUCUGAUUGGAAAGCACUGCUGUGUCUGCAAAAUAUAGCCUGGCAGACUGCAGACAAUGGCUCCAGCUCAACUCUGCAGCCAACGGUCAUGUUUGGGGAAUAAAGCAUUAGCAAGGGUCUCAUAGCAUCCUGUCACAGAAGAUCCCUGUCUGUGACAUGGUGGAGAGCGGUGCCAAUAUAUCAAUAUAACGCCAUGUCAAGUGUUUAAUGCCCAAGUAGCUAUUGACUGUUUUCUUCUCUGUGUUAUAUUUAUUAGCCUGUCUAUAUUCAGCACCGUCAUUGCGGUCUGAUUUAUUCAUAUGAUAUGACAGGUCUUUGAACUUCCCAUCUACCAGGGCUGGUGUGGAGCUAUUGGGAGAACAGGCCCCGGCUGUGCUUGAUAAAGUGGAGGGUAACUACAGUGUAGCAACAUAACAAACAGGCUUAUUGAGCGAUUCAAUGAUGUACACCAUACAGAGACGCCAAUAGUGUGAAUCAUCAAGCCAGCGUGUUCAGAACAACGCCAACCCCUGUACACAAUCCUACCCUUGACAAAACCUGACGAAAACCCCCCAACAAAAGAAUUUUCUUCUUUUCUUUUUUUGUCACUUUUUUGUUCAUACCCCCCCUCCCCUGCAAUGGAGACAUAUUUGAAUGUGUGGGCAUUGGAAAUCCUGCAUCACACAUUACCAGAGAUUUCAUCUCCACUGAAUGGAUGCAUUUGACAAUUUUUUUGUGGGAACUGUUUCCCACUGAACAAGUAGAGAACAAGGCCCGUUGUUCGACAGAGGAACCAAUGCAGCAGAUGACGGUUGUGGAGGGAAGACAUGAAUAAAAUGAUUUAAAGAGGUCCCUCCCAUUCACUUUGUCUUUGACUCUCACUCCCACUCAUGUUUUUAUGACGUGUUUCAAUAAUUACCUCAGGCUGAGUUCAUCGGGAGGACUGGCUUUGUGAAAGAGAGAAAUGGAAAAGACCCACACACAUGAAGAAAAGAGAUAAGACCUACUUUGUGAUGGGAAGAGGACAGAAAUGAGUUUGUUGACAACACAUAAACAUAUUUUCCAC